AAGACUGUACUUUCAGGGGUCAUCUCUCCAGUUUGUCCCUAGAGACGUCUCUCUGAGUGUGCAGAGCACUGUAAACCAGGAGGAGGCGGUGCGGGUUCUCUCCGGAGCGUGCAGCUGGCUCUCGGUGUUGCUUUACUGCAAUUGCCAUUUGCCAUAGAUGAUUGUUCUUUCUCCCUUUGGGGGAGUAAAAGGGAGAGGGAAAAAAAAAAGAAAGCUGA
Molecule: small nucleolar RNA, 218 nt
Organism: Otolemur garnettii (small-eared galago)
Lineage: Eukaryota; Metazoa; Chordata; Mammalia; Primates; Galagidae
Gene: U3
Rfam family: Small nucleolar RNA U3
About the family: Small nucleolar RNAs (snoRNAs) are involved in the processing and modification of rRNA in the nucleolus. There are two main classes of snoRNAs: the box C/D class, and the box H/ACA class.
Source: Ensembl